ACAAAUUUCAAUAUAAUCGUAAUACAUAUGAACCAAAUCCCAGAUCCAUUCAAAUAAUGGAAAUGCAGCGGUACAUGUGCUGAAUUUUAGUGAAACUAAUUCCAUAUUCUUAGGAAUUAUUCUACUCCCUCCGUUACUGCUUUCUAUAAACUACCAAAACGUCUUAUUAUAUUUAAAAACAGAGGUAGCAAAGUAACUCCAAAUUCAGCUGAAUCGGUGGUACAAACAGCUGCAGUACGAAUACGGAGGUGACAGCAUGUAACUGACCAAACAGACACGGCGCCUGACCCGUGCCACCAUGACCCAACUCACUAGCACAGUGACGCCGGGGAAUACUGUAGAUCAGACUCCACGACAUUUGACUUAGAUGUCAUCACUCAUCAGGAACCAGCUCGCUCAAUGCUAGUCGGAGGCUUCAUCAGAAGAAGAAUCCGCGGGAGAGGCGGCUUUGGGAAUGCCAAGCGGUGUCUCGUCAGACCCCAGCAGGCACCUGGGGUGCAAGUUGACCCCACAGGGACUGCACCUGUAGCUCCAGGAGCAGUCAGUGCUACAGUACAUGCACUUCGUUGCCUCUGCCAUGGUUAGGGUGAGGACGACGAGAUGCUCCGGGUGCAACGGCGAGACGGCCACGGCUGGCAGCUGGGAGCAGACAGGGUGCACGUCGAAGUCGGUCGCGCGGCAGCGGUAGUGCAUGCCGUGGAUGCGCGUCUCGCACAGGUCGCAGACGCGGCCAUAGUCGGAGGCCACGGCCGGCUCGAACGUCAGCGGGUGCUGCCCGUGGAAAGGAAGGAGCGCGGUCGGCGGGCACGUCGCGCAGAACUCGUGCAGGUUGAAGUCGCAGGCGUCGCAGCGGUAGCGGAAACCUGCUCCGUUGCAGCCGCAGCCAUUGCAGCGGAAGUCGGAGCCGGCGACGCCGCGGAGCACCCUGGGCGUCGUGGAGGAUCUGCUUCGGCAUUAUGAGUGCAUUUCCAGCUGGGAAUGGGACGAGAUGCCGAGGCAAUUGCGAGUGUUUAUAUACUGUAGAGAUCAUCGGUGGACUGGUGGGUAAAUAACUCUGUUCCAGGAAUUCUAGGAGGCGGGAUGGAAUACGAGCAGACACACGUAUACUAGCAAUAAUUUUCCAAAAAGAAAACGCACCAGCAAUAAACUAGGAGCCAGAAUUCUAGGAGGUGGAAGGAGGUCCGGUGGAGCAGACUCGUGUGUCCUUUCGGCUAGCUGCACCGACCAUCUACACCCUGCCUCCUCAAAUCCUCCUCGGACACCCCGUCAGUGACCGAAUAAAAAGAGAAGGAAAAAAAAUGACCCGAUCAAACCCUUUAUAUCCUUUCUAUAUAUGUGGAUUAUCCGCAAACCCUCGUACUCCCUCUGUCUAGGUGUGCGAGUCAUCUUACGAAAAUCAAAUAAUUCCAGAACACUUAUGCGCGGUGCACUAACUUCUACCUCGUUUCUUGUUUCUUGACAUAUCAACCAAUAAGAGAUGAGGGGUGGGCAUGCUUUUAAUGACUUGAGACUACCAAACACGAUAUGCAGUGGUUAAUUCAUUGCAUGCAGUGCUAUUAAUUAGCAAAUAAACAUUAAGGUCUCUCGUUUUCCCCUCCACCUUGGUCACGGUGCACAACGUAAGAUGACUUACUCACCUAGAGGAAGGGAGUAUUGAGAUCAGAUGUAAACAGGAUAUGAGAGCUCGCGGAUGCGCCCGGUCAAUCCGCCACAUAGGACGCGGCUCGUCGAGAUCCAAAACCAUGCCGGGUCUGACCUCGUUCAUGGCGGAGGGGAAGAGGAGGGUGGAGGAGGAGGGUUCGUCCUCGUUCAUGCCGGAGGGGAAGUGGAGCGUGGAGGAGGAGGGUGCGACCUCCUUCAUGGCGGAGGGGAAGACGAGGAUGGAGGAGGAGGGUGUGUCCUCGUUCAUGGCGGAGGGGAAGAGGAGAGAUAUUCGAAUGGGAAGCACGAGAGCAGAGGCGUCGAUCCGGGCAAUAAAGCGGUGAGUGGGCCAAGACAGUUGUAGGCGCAUGUCAAUUCAUGUCGUGAACAGUGGUCUAUCAUGGCCCGCCCAGAGUUAGGCUUUCGUAGACUUUCAGCCAGAAGAUUAAGGAUUAAUUGUUCAGAGCCAACUGUUGUGUGCACAAAUCUCAAUAAAACAUGGGUGUGAAUGGAAGGCUGAGAUAGAGGGUACCGCGUAGCCCCAGCUACGAAAAACCCGCUCUAAUCAUCAUAAAAGAUGGUCCUUUAUCCAAUUCAAGUAACAGUUCAUCGACUUUAUUUCAAUGGCAUAUGUUCUCAUUGGUUACCUGAAAUCGAUCCUGAAAUCACUUAUAAAGAUCGAUUUCAUCAUAUUUUGUAUUGUCAUUAGUGAUUUAACUGGCUCAAGCUGUCGGUAUCAGUCGAAUAAGGUCCUAUAAAUAUUUUAAGCAAUUACCUCUACAUAUCUUUGCCAGACUAAGUUCGAUGCAAAAGAAUGCACGUUUUGCUGAAUGUCUUGCAGAUUUUUAGUCAAUUAAAUACAUGGUUAUACAGAUGUAUGUUCGGUAUAAUUGUUUGUAGUUCUACGAUCCCUAUCCGUUGUGGUUUGGAAAGUUAUAAAAAAUAGGUACAAUGAAAUUCCCUUAAUCGAGCUUUCUGUCAAACUUUUCAUGUCACUAAAGGUUCAGAAAUGAUGCUUGUCUAGAGGAAGAUAGUAGCAUGGCUUGUACAUUAGGUCUGUAGGAACACACGAGGUAUAAUUUGGGAGCAUAUGGAUAUUCUCCGUCGUCACUGAUCUUAAUUCCGAAACGUUGCUCACUGAUCGUCAGAUUAAAAGUGGCAGUACUUAUCACAUUUUUAUUAUUUUAGCUGACGAUGUAACAUGAAAAAAAAAUUGUAGUACUUGUCUGGAAGAUUAAUUUGCUCUUACAUCUGAAGUGGCAAUUUCUCUUACGUUGUGUUGUAGCUUGGCACUGGUUAGUUUGGUUCGUUAAACCCAAGUACAGUAUGAAACUUUGUUGCCAACUUUGAAAGCCCAUACUGGAUUCCGAUCACAUUGGUUUAACUUUUAUCAUUUUGGUUGUGUGCAGUUUUUAACAUUUCAGUUCUGUUGUGCUUGAGGUAGAGGCGCUGAUUAUUUGUUCUAUGGACUUUUUUGUUGUGUUCAGUUGCGUGCGUGACAAAGUGUAGUUUUCAGUAGCAUGACUGUUAAUUACUAAUUGCUAUGGCAUUCUUAUUUUCUGAUACAUCUAAACCGUCCAAUGUGAUUUGCUUCACUGAAGGGUAAUAUGGAUGAAGAACUAAGAGGAGCAUUUGGUCAAAUGAUUCAGGUAGGAAACUGGUUUUCGCAAAUGCCCAAAUCGUGGUAAACAUAGUAAAGGUAAGUUAAGAGUUUUUCAGUUACAUAAAAAAUAAAGACUGUAUAUUUAUGGUGAGUGAUGCGGGAAAUGGACUCUCUACUUCAGUUACAUGUUGUAGAUAAUGAGAAGGGUUUGUUUUCUAGAAUCAUUAUAAAUGUGAUACAGAUUCUGGCAUAACCUUGAGUAAAUUGCAUAAAACCACCACUUCGAGGGCUAGGUUUUUGAAAAACACUAGGAUACAUUUUCGCUGCAGAAAACACCACAUCUCGCGUAAUGGUCUUGCAAAAACCACUGAUCGGCGGAUCUGGCUCGUUUAAGCGCGUUUAUGACAGAUGGGUCCCACUUUUCGCUGACGUGACAUAACGUUUUACCCAAAAAAAUGCUAGAUGCGUAAAAAAGCGAAAACCCCCUCAACAAUUUUCUCCUGUGCUGCCCAGGGCCUUCCUUGUCCGGCGACCACAGUCAGCCGCCACCGCACUCCCGUCCCGGCCGUGCGCGCCCCUCCCGGCCUGCCGCGCGUGCCCCUGCGCCGCCGCGCUCACCUCCUGUCCGGUCGCCCGCGCUCCAGGCUGGUUGCGNNNNNNNNNNNNNNNNNNNNNNNNNNNNNNNNNNNNNNNNNNNNNNNNNNNNNNNNNNNNNNNNNNNNNNNNNNNNNNNNNNNNNNNNNNNNNNNNNNNNNNNNNNNNNNNNNNNNNNNNNNNNNNNNNNNNNNNNNNNNNNNNNNNNNNNNNNNNNNNNNNNNNNNNNNNNNNNNNNNNNNNNNNNNNNNNNNNNNNNNNNNNNNNNNNNNNNNNNNNNNNNNNNNNNNNNNNNNNNNNNNNNNNNNNNNNNNNNNNNNNNNNNNNNNNNNNNNNNNNNNNNNNNNNNNNNNNNNNNNNNNNNNNNNNNNNNNNNNNNNNNNNNNNNNNNNNNNNNNNNNNNNNNNNNNNNNNNNNNNNNUGCCCGACCACGCCCGCCUCUGCCCGGCCGUGCGCCCGCCUCUGCUAGCCUGCACCCGCUGCCAUGCUAGCCGCGCCACCCCCGCCCUGCUCCGCCCGCGCUCGCCGCUCUACAAGCCACUGUCGUCCCGCACUGCUUCCCCAUCUCCCUAGAUCGAUCUCGAGCUCGGGAGGACGGCGGCCGUGGCGGGAAUACGAGGGGGGUGCUGGAGCUCCGUCGCUGCUGCUUGCUCCGGUGGGCGGCUGCAGGCCCUCGCCGGCGGGGGAAAGAGAGCAGAGGGAGGAAGGAGACGGGAAGAAGGGGAGGGAGCUGAUUGCUUUUUUCUAUUUGAUUUAGGGGUGUCUGUGCAAAAUAUAUGGACUAGUUUGUAAAUUUAGACUAAAAUUGAUCUAGCACAAAAUGUUACGCCACAUAGGCAAAAAAGGGGCUCAUCUGUCAUAAUCUCACAUAACAGAGCCAGAUAUGCCGAUCAGUGGUUUUUGCAAGACCAUUACGAGAGAUGUGGUAUUUUCUGCAGCGAAAAUGUAUCCUAGUGUUUCUCACAGACCUAGCCCUCAAAGUGGUGGUUUUAUGCAAUUUACUCCAUAACCUUUGAUUGGCUACAAUUUAUGUGGAAGAUACAAUGCAGAAGCAUGAUAUGAAUGUAUGCCAACUCAACAAAACUAAAGGUUGCUCUAUGAAUCAUUGUUUAAAGUGAUUCAAUAUCAGUUCAUCAGUUCAUCGCUUAAGAUCAUUGCACCAUCAAGCAUCGUCGGUAGCUCCUUCAUGCUCCUGCUUGCACCGUUCUUCUCCCGCGCCAUUCCACCAAGUUUGUUGCACUUGUUGGCACCCCAUCCCGGCUUGUUCAAAGCCAUACAAACAAUACUCCUCACCUUCCUUGCCAUGACGCAGUUCAAGAGAAUAUGUCCAAUGGUCUCUUCCUGAGCGCAGAAGGGAAAAACAUCAUGGUGAUCAAGGCCAUGGCGGGCCAACCGGUCCGCCAUCCAACAUCUACUCUGAACAGCUAGCCAUGUGAAGAACCGACGACGAAUCAAAGCCCUGGAUGACCACGUGAAGACGGCCGUCGGCGACACUUCCCUGCCCCAAAACCUGGCCAUGUACGCAGACCGACAUGAGUACCUCCCAUCCAGCUCCCAGGCCCAACUAAUCACGUCCAUGACGUCCGGGUUUAGAUCCACACGGGUAACCUGUGCCCAAAGCUGAAUGUAGAAGAACUUCUUACUUACAUCUCAAUUUUCAUUGUGCCUAGAGGAUAAAUACUAAUAGUAUCUCCUUUGAUCUUUUGGUUGUCCCUCACACCAUGAAUGUUGCUACUGGGGUGAAGGAGAACAUCCAGCUCACGAGGGGGCUUCACAUGGUCGACGAUAUCCACUACCUUGAUUAUCGUGAGGCGCUCGUGUGGAAGUGCAAGAGGGACUACGAGGAAUCAAAGAAAUACAAGGAAUGGAAGUUCAAAUUUGAGAAGGCAACUAUUGAACAUUAGACUUGGUAGUAAAUAAAAAGUCAACGAUGUGUCAAAAUGCUAUUAUGGAGAUGUGAGCUGUGAUCCAUUCCUUUGUAUAUAGCAGUCACAUGUAAGUACCAGUUUGUUGGUUGCACCAUCUUAUUUUCCGUGCCAUAGUUUACACUUCUGUUUUCUGUGGAGAGACAAAAUUUUGUUAAAUUGUCUCGGAACAAUUUUUUGUUCAUAGCUGUUGGCUUAAGAAUGUUUGAUUUUUUUGCUAAACAUCAAAUUAAGAAAUGCCUCAAUUGCUUGUUGUAAUUUCCAUUGCUACCUUAUGUACUUAUGAUGUGUUUAAUGAUGAAAACAACUGUAUGGGCAUAUCUCUAUGAAACCAUAAAUACAUCAGGCCAUAUUUGGUUGUGUAUACUUCACUUGCUCGAGAAAAAAGGAAGCACUUUACGUGGCACAUGGCGUGCACUAUACGUGCACACUUACAAUUGGAAGAUUUUCGAGUUAAUUGCAGGAAACUACCACACUUCGGCACGUCGUAACGAAUCAGUACCAUUAGUCAUUUUUUUGCCGUGCAGUACCAGCUCAGAGCCUAAGUAUUGCAAAACGGUCUAAGCCACGUAUAAACGUGUACUGACGGUGUAUCUGAUCGCUGGGACCCGUGUGUCAGGGGCUAACGUGGCAUGCUCUUUUACAAAAAGAACCCUUACUUUUUAUUUAAUCAUGUAUAUAUCCUCUGUGUGUUAAAAAAAGGCCUUGCCACAAAACACACAUUUUUCAAAUUAAGAAAUGCAUCAAUUACUUGCUGUAAUUUCCAUUGCUACCUUGUGUAGUUGUGAUGUGUUUAAUGAUGAAAACAACUGUAUGGGCAUAUCUCUAUGAAACCAUAAAUACAUCAGGCCAUAUUUGGUUGUGUAUACUUCACUUGCUCGAGAAAAAAGGAAGCACUUUACGUGGCACAUGGCGUGCACUAUACGUGCACACUUACAAUUGAAAGAUUUUCGAGUUAAUUGCAGGGAACUAUCACACUUCGGCACGUCGUAACGAAUCAGUACCAUUAGUUAUUUUUUUUGCCGUGCAGUACCAACUCAGAGCCUAAGUAUUGCAUAACGGUCUAAGCCACGUAUAAACGUGUACUGAUGGUGUAUCUGAUCGCUGGGACCCGUGUGUCAGGGGCUGACGUGGCAUGCUCUUUUACAAAAAGAACCCUUACUUUUUAUUUAAUCACGUAUAUAUCCUCUGUGUGUUUAAAAAAGGCAUUGCCACGUCGUAACGAAUCAGUACCAUUAGUUAUUUUUUUUGUCGUGCAGUACCAGCACCAUUAGUUAUUUUUUUUGUCGUGCAGUACCAGCUCAGAACCUAAGUAUUGCAUAACGGUCUAAGCCACGUAUAAACGUGUACUGACGGUGUAUCUGAUCGCUGGGACCCGUGUGUCAGGGGCUGACGUGGCAUGCUCUUUUACAAAAAGAACCCUUACUUUUUAUUUAAUCACGUGUAUAUCCUCUGUGUGUUAAAAAAAGGCCUAGCCACAAAACACACAUUUUUCAGGAAAUAACAGCCCGCGCUCGUGCCGCCUGUGGUUCGAACUCGAGACAUGCCGUCAGAGGUGGAAGCUCGCUGCCGCUGCGCCACUACUCCUUUUGCGGUAACAAGCACGCGUAAUAUUUUCUGUACAUUGCGCCAUUCGGUUUUUUCUAGAAAGUAGAAAAUCGCGCGCCCGUCCGCCGGAAAUCUCGAUCCCGCGCUCGUUUGCUUGCGCAUCCUAUGCGUCAACGUACGCGUAUACGUCUUUAAACUCCGUGCCGUUCCAGUUUUUAUAUGAUACUAACAAAAAUAUUACUCCCUCCGUUCGGAAUUACUUGUCUCGGAAAUGAAUAUAUCUGGAACUAAAAUACGUCUAGAUACAUCCAUUUCUGCGACAAGUCAUUCUGAACUGAGAGAGUAUAUGACAUUAAAAAAGUUUGUCGCGCCGUAUAAUUGAAAAUAUGUUCAUUGCAUAAUAUAUUAAAAAGUUCAUCGUAUAUAUAUUGAACAUUUUAUAAUAUAUAAUGUCUGAAGAAUAAACCUGCUGGUCUCUACCUUAUUUUUGGUUGAUGUUAAAAAAAUUUAAAAUUACUCUGAAAGGUAAAUAAAGUGUUUGUGCAUUUGAAGAAAAAAAUGUUCAGAACAUUUUUGGGAAAUGUUGAACGCGUAUUUAAAAAUUGUAAAUGUAUUUUAUAAAAUGUUCGUCAUGCAUUAUAAAAUUUAUUACGAUUACACAAUAAUUUUUAGUACAUGUAUCAUUUUUUUUGAAUAACUGUGCAUUAAAAAAAUACAACAAAUAUAUACAGUAACUGUGAGUUGGGCAUAUAUUUUGUUUAAUUGUGUAUUUCAAAAAUAUAUUGAUGAUGCAUAAUAAUUGUGCAUUCGUGUGAUCCUGAGUGAAGACACAUAGAAUUUUCUUACAUUUGUGUUUUAAUCCACAUAAAUUUUAGAAAAAAGUUCAUGCUUGGCACUAAAUAGUACUAACCCACAUAAAAACUUGCCGUGCGUGGGUCUGGUGCUUUUCACUAAAUAGUACUAACAUAUAAUUCAAAAAAAAUUGAUAAAGAAUGUGCUGGCCUCAGAAAAAAAAUAUGCUGGCCUCACUGGGCCGUGAUUGGGCCGUCCUGCAGCCCAUGCUACGCUGGCUCGUCUACCUCGAGGGGAUCUGGGAAUCGGGGAUGAGACACACAGCGACGGGGUUCGAAUCCAGCGCCGGUUUCCCGUUCGGGCACCGGCGACCACGCCGCUGCGCGGCUCUCAACCCUCAUCGCCUAACACCAGAUCUGGGCGACGCCCACGCCGCCACCAUCUCCAACCUGUGCGUCCCACCAGCGUCGCCGACCACCACUGCCCUGGCGAGCUAGCAAAGAGGAGAGGAAAUAAAGGAGAAGGGAGAGGGGCACCGGUGCUCUGGCGAGCCAGCGACUGGUCUCCGGCGAGGGGAGGUCGGCAAGGUCGAGGUGACGGUGGACAGGGGAGGCGGCGGGGCUUUGAGUGAUUAAAUUUACAACAAGGGUGUUUUCUGCAAAAAAAUAUGCCAAGUUUGCUCCUGACACACGGGUCCCAACGGUCAAAUACAAUGUAAAUACGCGUUUAUGCAUGGCUUAGACCGUUUUGCAACACUUAGGCUCUGAGCUGGUACUGCAUGGCAAAAAAAUGACUAAUGGUACUGAUUCGUUACGACGUGCCGAAGUGGUAGUUCCAUGCAAUUAACUCAAGAUUUUCUGAAGUUUUACCAGGUACUAAUUGCAGUAGUUUUGAAAGAUUUUCUGAAGUUUUACCAGGUACUAAUUCCAGCAGUUUUGUUAGCAAUGUCUGCACUAAAUAUGAGUUGAGAACAUGACUUUCUUUUAGCUUGUCCAUAGUGGUUUCAAUUCCAACCUGACCAUCCUCAAAAGAUGUUCUUUUCUGAUGUUUUUCCAUGUCGAUUAGUUCUACACAUAAUGCAUAUAGAGACUAUUACCAUACGAUAUACUAAUUUAAAUUUGAAGAAAAAAUCUCACGAUUUUUGUGUUUAUAAUGGAGACGUGCAUUGCACGUGCAAGCUUACUUGUAUCUACAGUAAUUACCAAAAGUAAAUAACCUGCUAAUAGUCUGUAAUAUUUCUUCUUCAUUUUAUACUAAACGAGCACUGUAGCACCGUGACUUCCCUUCUCUAAGUUAGAGGAUCCAGCUCCCGAGAGUAUACUAUAAGAUUAAGUACAAUAUACUACAGUUGCAUCUCGAAGACUAGAAGUAAACUACGUAUGGAACUAUAAGACAUAUUAACAUGGCAUCUAAUUCAAACAAAUAAAUGUGUGAACACAACAGUGAAAACCAUCAGUAACUUGGACGAAUGAUUCAAAAUAUAUUCGGAUUUGAAAUUCCAAUUUCGCAGAAGCACAGACUUUUUUAUUUUACCGUUCACUGGGUGUAGAUGAGUGCAGGAACCGAAUUAAAUUUUCAAUUAAGUAGUCCACACGUAUGUCUAGCAUUUUUUCUAAACUCCCUAGUGAUGUAUAGUGUGCCACUUGCCGUCACCGGAGGCAACUAACUAGAGUUUACCUUGUAACUAAGGACCGCAAUAGUUGGCAAACGUUCGCUGAGAGGGGUCGACAUUUCCGAAAGUUUUAGAUGACAAGUUUUGUUGCAUGGGAUGGCAACUUCUUCACAAACGCAUGGCAUUUUGUGGGAGAAAGAACUUUUGCGCUAAAAACGACGGGAUUUGCCAUCUCCUACCAACUAAACUUGCCGUAAAAGAAUAUUUGCUUGCCAUCCCUUCCAGCUCACGUCCGCGAGAUCACAAGUCUCACAAAGAAAUAACGGAGGGGGUGAUCAACCAAAGUAGAUGUUGAUCUCAAAUACAUCUAGGAAGUGAUACGGAAGCAACAAUCAUGUAGCUGACCGACCAGACAGAAGCCACACGACAUGAGAUCGGAAGUUUUCAACAGACAUCACUGCUUCGACAAUCAAAUUAACCUGAUGCAUCACGCAUGCAUAACACGUCCACAAUGCAGUUGACAGCCUAUUUGCCUUUGGGAAUAUUUAGCGGCGUCUGCUCGGUCCCAAGCAAGCACCUGGGGUGCAAGUUGACCUCGCAGGGAACGCACCGGUAGCGCCACAGGCAGUCGGUGCUACAGCGCGUGCACUUCGCCGGCGCGGCCAUGGUGAGCACGAGGAGGUGCGCCGGGUGCAGGGGCGACAGUGCCGCGCUCGGCAGCUGGGAGCAGAUCGGGUGCACGUCGAAGUCGCAAGGACGGCAGCGGUAGUGCAUGCCCUUGAUGAGCGCGGCGCACAGGUCGCAUCUGCGCGGGUCCUCCGGGAACACGGUCCGCUCGAACGUGAGCGGGUGCUGGCCGUGGCCAUGGAAGGAGAAGGGCGCCGUCGGCUGGCAGGUCGCGCAGAGCUCGUGCAGGUCGAAGUCGCAGGCGGCGCAGCGAUAGCGGGCGCCUACGCCGUAGCAGUUGCAGCCGUCGCAGCGGAACCUGAAGCCGUCGUCGUGGAACACCAGGGGGUGCUCCUUGUGGGCGUCAUGGACGAUCUGCUUCGGCAUUAUGCGUGCGAGCUGGAGGUGAGGUACCCAGACGGGAGUCUUAUAUACAGAGAUCACCGGCCGGUAUGCCGACAUCUCCGUUCCCGAAAUUCUAGGAGGCGGGAUGGAAGGAAGAAUAUCAAACGCAAUAUAGGCGAGAUGACUCUACCGGAGUCCCAUCGUACAGCUGCAUUGCCGUGGCCGAUAGGAUUGUGAUCAUUUGAUCGUGGGAUGGACUCAUGGAAGAUUUGCACUAAUAGCGAAUUUUCUAUUAAUUUGAUUUUUUUUCGAACAGUAAUAAUUAUACAGUUCCGCAUUUGAGCGCCCGAUCAACCAAGGGCAAAGUAGUCUAAUACUCCCUCCGUAAAGACUAUUAUAUUUCUUUACAGAGGGAGUAGUAGUUUCCAUGUGCAGAACAGUAUUUUGGAAGCAAUUCUAUUCGAUAAUGGAAGUACUUAUGAAGCAAAUCUCGGAAUGAUUUCCUCUGAAUUUCAAGGAAACUAAUUCCGGAUUCUUAGGAUUUAUUCUAGCAAAGUAACUCCAAAUCGAGCUGAAUCGGCGCAAGCAGCUGCAGUACAAAUACAGAGGUGCCGAACAUGCAUGUAGCUGACCAAACAGACACGACGCAUGACCACAUGACCUAACUCACUGACACCAGGGCAUGCUGUAGAUUGGAGACCACGCCAUUUGAUUCUUUUUUUCUUUUCUUUUUUUUUGCGGGGGCACGCCAUUUGAUUCAGAUGUUCAACACUCAUCACUCGUCAGCUCGUUCAAUCCAAGUCGGAGGCUUCAUCACAAGAAGAAUCCGCGUAACAGGCUGUCUUUUGAACGGCAAUGCUACACGUACAAACGAUUUACAGGCUUUUACAGGAUGGUUAACCUUGAUUGGUCAAUAGGUGAGCGGGGCGGCCCACCCCCCUGAAAAUCAGGGGGGGAAGGUUUGUGAUUUGUUAGAUGGAAGAAGCGUGUAAAAGCGUGUAAGUCUUUGUAUGUCUAGCAUUUUUGCUUUGGGAAUGCCAAGCGGCGUCUUGCCAGACCCCAGCAGGCACCUGGGGUGCAAGUUGACUCCGCAGGGACUGCACCGGUAGCGCCAGGAGCAGACGGCACUACGGUGCGUGCACUUGGUUAGAUGGGUCAUUGUGAGCAUGACGAGAUGCUCCGGGUGGAGGGGCGAGACAGCCGCGGCUGGCAACUGGGAGCAAACAGGGUGCACGUCGAAGCCGCACGGGCGGCAGCCGUAGUGCAUGCCGUGGAUGAGGGUCUCGCACAGGUCGCAGACGCGACCAUCGUCGGAGGCCACGGCCGGCUCGAACGUCAGCGGGUGCUGCCCGUGGAAAGGAAGGAGCGCGGUCGGCAGGCACGUCGCGCAGAACUCGU
Molecule: long non-coding RNA, 12124 nt
Filed under: Triticum aestivum (bread wheat)
Lineage: Eukaryota; Viridiplantae; Streptophyta; Magnoliopsida; Poales; Poaceae
Description: long non-coding RNA (TAES_LNC003561)
Source: RNAcentral